AUACUUACCUGGCAGGAGAGAUACCAUCAUCACGAAGGUGGUUUUCCCAGGGCGAGGCUUAUCCAUUGCACUCCGAUGUGCUGACCCCUGCGAUUUCCCCGAAUGUGGGAAACUCGACUGCAUAAUUUGUGGUAGUGGGGGACUGCGUUCACGCUUUCCCCUG
This 163-nucleotide small nuclear RNA is filed under the name Saimiri boliviensis boliviensis (Bolivian squirrel monkey). RNAcentral's name for it is "U1 spliceosomal RNA (ENSSBOG00000014878.1)". It matches the Rfam family "U1 spliceosomal RNA". From Rfam's summary of the family: U1 is a small nuclear RNA (snRNA) component of the spliceosome (involved in pre-mRNA splicing). Its 5' end forms complementary base pairs with the 5' splice junction, thus defining the 5' donor site of an intron. The record is from Rfam by way of RNAcentral. Lineage: Eukaryota; Metazoa; Chordata; Mammalia; Primates; Cebidae.